ACAAGAAAACUCAACAGGAAGUGCCAGUAAAGUUUUUCCUUGGUUAACCAUUUGGUUGAGAUUUUAUGGUUUACCAUGCGUGUUAAAGAAUCAAGCUGGUUAUCUUUUAAGAUAAACUUGUAUAACGUGGUGAAAGAAGUUGAAUUAUAUACAGUUGGGAUUCGAAUAUGGCAGUUAUGUAUGUAUGGACGGCAGACAAGGACAGCUGGGGACAUGCGUCGCUGUCAUUAAAUGACAGUAGUGCAUAUAUAAGUUGGUGGCCAACAGAAGAUAAAUCUAAAAAUAGUCUUAAAAAGAAAAAGACAGAAGGACGAACGAAAGAGCAUUUACCAGUUGAUUAUGACGAUGAAAAAGAACACUUCACAGGUCGCAACUAUACACAUCGAUUCUCUAUAAGGAAUGGUGUCAUUAAUGUAGAAAAGGUACGGAAAUGGUGGCAGAAAAUUAAAGAUGAUGGAGGAUACCAUUUCCUGUUUAACAAUUGUUGCGACGCAGUUGUACAGGCUCUUCGGGAGGGAGGAAUUGAAAUAGGGAAGUCCUUAAUUAGAAAACCGGAGGAUAUGAUUGGACUUGGAAGAGACUUAGAAAAGAAAUGAUUUUACUAUCUAGCUUUACAUUUAAGACUGAUUAUCUUUCUAGUUGUAAUUUAAAUUAAUUAAGUCAUUUGUACACGUCUAUAUUAAAAAUUAUAGUACAAAGCUCA
Mytilus californianus (California mussel) is the source of this 703-nucleotide long non-coding RNA. RefSeq lists it as uncharacterized. NCBI's taxonomy places the organism in Eukaryota, Metazoa, Mollusca, Bivalvia, Mytilida, Mytilidae. The transcript is spliced from 3 exons. The record is from RefSeq and is a predicted model, not a curated record.